GACAGAGGUGCCGAGCGUUAGGCGGAAUCACUGGGCUUAAAGCGUGUGUAGGCGGACUUCUAAGUACCUUGUGAAAUCCCACGGCUCAACCGUGGAACUGCUGGGUAUACUGGGCGUCUUGGGCCAUUCAGGGGCGACUGGAACAAGCGGUGGAGCGGUGAAAUGCGUAGAUAUCGCUUGGAACGCCGAAGGUGAAAACAGGUCGCUGGGGAUGUGCCGACGCUGAGACACGAAAGCCAGGGGAGCAAACGGG
RNAcentral lists this ribosomal RNA (253 nucleotides) under uncultured bacterium. RNAcentral's name for it is "partial 16S ribosomal RNA". It matches the Rfam family "Bacterial small subunit ribosomal RNA", at positions 524 to 776 of the family's 1533-position model. The record is from RNAcentral.